UGACAUUUCAAAUAGUCCUGAGGGCUUCUGGAGCCAAUCUCAGAGCCGUGAACCUGGGCUUGUGUUAGAGGAAGCUUAGCUUAAUAUAAAUAAAUCUGUAAGAAAAGGUCACAGGUCACUGUCAGGAAAGAAGUAGUGAAUACAGUGUUCACUCCCUUUCCUCCCUGAGAAAUUGAAGCCCAACUUGGUGUUGAAAUGGGAUGGUAAAACAGGAAUGGGUCUGAGAAUUUGGGGAGAUCUGUAUCUGCCCUCACAGCUUUGGGGACCUGAUACAGUGAUCCCAACAGACCUGAAGCCAGACGCCAGUGAGAUAUCUAAGCAAGUGACUCUUUCAUCCUGUUUCCACCAGUUAAGGGAGAGAAACAUAAAAUAAUUUCGUUCAAGCAUUUAAGCAAGUAAGAAUCACUAAAUAUGAGCUUCCACUAAUUUUUACAUCCAUGGACCAGAGAAGGUAGGAUGGGAGUGUAAUGGAUGCAAAGGGAAUGAUUAUUAUAGGAAGGUGAUAAGAGCUAUAUCUGCACACCAUGGGGAUCUGUGACAAGAAAGCAGAGAGGUGUAAAUGCCAGGGCAAGAGUAAUAAUAGCAGGUGUCAUUAUUAAGUCAGAAAAAAUAAUUCUUAAAGAUAAUUGUAGUAAGCUCUGUCACAUUCAUACUGUCCAGUGUCCAGCAAGGAGCCCAGGGCUUGGCCCACACCCCACUCUUCCAUCAGUCUCUCCUUGUACCAUUUCUAGUGAGAGGGAUAGCUCUCUUGGGAGUAGGGAAUUUGACUCCCCUCCUGCUGUGGCAUUCAUGGGGCUCUGAUUAUUGGUGUUCAGUAAAUGUUUAAGAAAAAAUAAAUGGGGGCUGGGGUUGUGGCUCAGCAGUAAAGCCCUCGCCUAGCACGUGUGAGGUGCUGGGUUCAAUCCUCAGCACCACAUAAAAAUAAAUAAAAGUAUUGUGUCCAACUAUAAAAACUAAAAAAUAUUUUUAAAAAAAGAAAAAGAAAAAAAAUAAAUGGAUUAUUCUGGAGCAUAGUGUCUUUAUCUUCUCAUUAAGUGAUACCACUAAUCCAAAAGUUCUUUUCAAGUAGGAGGACGAUAGUGCUGGGUGUGAAAGGGCAGGUCCUAUAAAAC
RNAcentral lists this long non-coding RNA (1112 nucleotides) under Marmota monax (woodchuck). Lineage: Eukaryota; Metazoa; Chordata; Mammalia; Rodentia; Sciuridae. The record is from RNAcentral.